UGAGGAUGUAGCUCAGUGGUAGAGAACUUACCUAGCAUGCACAAGGUCCUGGGUUCAGUCCCCAGCACCACAA
This 73-nucleotide transfer RNA is filed under the name Marmota monax (woodchuck). Its description in RNAcentral is "tRNA.Ala". The record is from RNAcentral. Lineage: Eukaryota; Metazoa; Chordata; Mammalia; Rodentia; Sciuridae.